RNAcentral lists this ribosomal RNA (851 nucleotides) under Holmiella juniperi-semiglobosae. RNAcentral describes it as "SSU rRNA". It matches the Rfam family "Eukaryotic small subunit ribosomal RNA", at positions 225 to 1080 of the family's 1831-position model. RNAcentral also lists the same sequence under 1 other name. The record is from RNAcentral. Lineage: Eukaryota; Fungi; Ascomycota; Dothideomycetes.
AAUGCCCUUCGGGGCUCCUUGGUGAUUCAUGAUAACUUAACGAAUCGCAUGGCCUUGCGCCGGCGAUGGUUCAUUCAAAUUUCUGCCCUAUCAACUUUCGAUGGUAGGAUAGUGGCCUACCAUGGUAUCAACGGGUAACGGGGAAUUAGGGUUCUAUUCCGGAGAGGGAGCCUGAGAAACGGCUACCACAUCCAAGGAAGGCAGCAGGCGCGCAAAUUACCCAAUCCCGACACGGGGAGGUAGUGACAAUAAAUACUGAUACAGGGCUCUUUUGGGUCUUGUAAUUGGAAUGAGUACAAUUUAAAUACCUUAACGAGGAACAAUUGGAGGGCAAGUCUGGUGCCAGCAGCCGCGGUAAUUCCAGCUCCAAUAGCGUAUAUUAAAGUUGUUGCAGUUAAAAAGCUCGUAGUUGAACCUUGGGCCUGGCUGGCCGGUCCGCCUCACCGCGUGUACUGGUCCGGCCGGGCCUUUCCUUCUGGGGAUCCGCAUGCCCUUCGCUGGGUGUGCCGGGGAACCAGGACUUUUACUUUGAAAAAAUUAGAGUGUUCAAAGCAGGCCUUUGCUCGAAUACAUUAGCAUGGAAUAAUAGAAUAGGACGUGCGGUCCUAUUUUGUUGGUUUCUAGGACCGCCGUAAUGAUUAAUAGGGAUAGUCGGGGGCAUCAGUAUUCAAUUGUCAGAGGUGAAAUUCUUGGAUUUAUUGAAGACUAACUACUGCGAAAGCAUUUGCCAAGGAUGUUUUCAUUAAUCAGUGAACGAAAGUUAGGGGAUCGAAGACGAUCAGAUACCGUCGUAGUCUUAACCGUAAACUAUGCCGACUAGGGAUCGGGCGAUGUUAUCAUUUUGACUCGCU